AGAGUUUUGGUUCCCUUUAAUUACGGUAAAGGUUGGUGUUAACUCUU
RNAcentral lists this transfer RNA (47 nucleotides) under Paraleius leontonychus. RNAcentral describes it as "tRNA-Val(tac)". Lineage: Eukaryota; Metazoa; Arthropoda; Arachnida; Sarcoptiformes; Scheloribatidae. The record is from RNAcentral.